GAACCUUUGGAAGACAUUAAACAUCCCAAUUAUAGGAAGCCCUAGUCCUAAUAUUGUCCUUCUGGCAUGUCCUUCACAAUGUUGUAGGGUCUACUGCUCAAUGAUCCCUGGAAGAAACCCAACUGCUACAAAGUAGAUGGCUAAAGCCUCUUGCCAACAGCUUCAUCAGUGACCCUGGCAGUUGGCCUCCAUUUCCUUCAGCUGCUCACAUCCCUGGCCUACAGGCUUGACUACCAAGCCAUGCAGUUAAGAAAUCCCUGGCCCCUUCUCUUUCAUGGUUCCCAUGAAUCACAGAGACAACCAGCUCUUCAGUAAAGGACCAAACUAAAGACCAGUUCCCACUGGACAACAACUGCACAGUUCACAAACCUUCAGAGGAAUGGAGGAGCUGUGCCUUGGUCAUCUGUGAAUCUCAGUACCUAAUAAUAAUGCUUCAUGCAAAGGAGAGUCCAGCUAAUGCCAAGCAGUUGUAGAGGCAUGAUCCACUUGAAAGCUAAGAGGAAAAUGUUCUGGUAGAAAUCAUAGAAGAAACCAAUCCUAAAACUGACUGACCUCCUCCAAGAGCAACUUCUGUGUCCACAGAACCAGAAAG
This 592-nucleotide long non-coding RNA is filed under the name Mus spicilegus (steppe mouse). RNAcentral's name for it is "lncRNA (ENSMSIG00000024852.1)". Lineage: Eukaryota; Metazoa; Chordata; Mammalia; Rodentia; Muridae. The record is from RNAcentral.